GAUGAACGCUGGCGGCGUGCCUAAGGUAUGCAAGUCGAGCGGUGAUGUAUGGAGGAAGUUUUCGGAUGGAAUCGAUACAUCCUAGAGGCGGACGGGUGAGUAACGCGUUAGCAACCUGCCUUUCACAGGGGGAUAACGGAUCGAAAGAUUCACUAAUACAGCAUGAGACCAAGAUACCGAGUGGUAUAGGGGUCAAAGGAGCAAUCCUGUGAAAGAUGGGCUCGCGUCCGGUUAGGUAGUUGGUGGGGUAAUGGCUCACCAAGGCAAUGAUCGGUAGCCGACCUGAGAGGGUGAUCGGCCACACUGGAACUGAGAGACGGUCCAGACUCCUACGGGAGGCAGCAGUGGGGAAUAUUGGGCAAUGGGGGAAACCCUGACCCAGCAACGCCGCGUGAGGGAAGAAGGUUUUCGGAUUGUAAACCUCUGUCCUUGGUGAAGAGCAGAAGACGGGAGCCAAGGAGGAAGCCCCGGCUAACUACGUGCCAGCAGCCGCAGUAA
This 498-nucleotide ribosomal RNA is filed under the name uncultured bacterium. RNAcentral describes it as "partial 16S ribosomal RNA". It matches the Rfam family "Bacterial small subunit ribosomal RNA", at positions 28 to 523 of the family's 1533-position model. The record is from RNAcentral.